GGUGAAAACACGCAAGGGCACAGAAACUAGACGUGGAGCCUGAGGAUGGGACUGAACUGCUGCCACCUCACUGCAAACUCGAAUGAAGGAGGAGCUGCUGCUUACACGUGAGCAAGGAAAGUGAUUUCUCGAGAUGGAAUCUGC
Molecule: non-coding RNA, 144 nt
Organism: Vicugna pacos (alpaca)
Lineage: Eukaryota; Metazoa; Chordata; Mammalia; Artiodactyla; Camelidae
Source: RefSeq, a predicted model, not a curated record